GUGGGGAAUCUUGCGCAAUGGGCGAAAGCCUGACGCAGCCAUGCCGCGUGAAUGAUGAAGGUCUUAGGAUUGUAAAAUUCUUUCACCGGGGACGAUAAUGACGGUACCCGGAGAAGAAGCUCCGGCUAACUUCGUGCCAGCAGCCGCGGUAAUACGAAGGGGGCUAGCGUUGCUCGGAAUUACUGGGCGUAAAGGGCGCGUAGGCGGACAGCUUAGUCAGAGGUGAAAGCCCAGGGCUCAACCUUGGAAUUGCCUUUGAUACUGGCUGUCUGGAGUUUGGGAGAGGUGAGUGGAACUCCGAGUGUAGAGGUGAAAUUCGUAGAUAUUCGGAAGAACACCAGUGGCGAAGGCGACUCACUGGCCCAAUACUGACGCUGAGGCGCGAAAGCGUGGGGAGCAAACAGGAUUAGAUACCCUUGUAGUCC
RNAcentral lists this ribosomal RNA (425 nucleotides) under uncultured bacterium. RNAcentral describes it as "partial 16S ribosomal RNA". It matches the Rfam family "Bacterial small subunit ribosomal RNA", at positions 354 to 796 of the family's 1533-position model. The record is from RNAcentral.